Molecule: long non-coding RNA, 5759 nt
Filed under: Bemisia tabaci
Lineage: Eukaryota; Metazoa; Arthropoda; Insecta; Hemiptera; Aleyrodidae
Description: lncRNA ENSASIAIIG003426
Source: RNAcentral
AUGCAGACUUUUAAAAGCCCAGCAGCAAACGCAGCCGUUCUUGGAGGAGAACCUGGGGCGGCUGGAGCCGAUCGUAAUCCAGAACGAAGGGACGAGCCCGCUGUUCCUGGAGAAGGAGCCGAACCCGUUCGAGCACCUGCAGUUGCAUUCGCAAGCGCAUUCUCAGGCGCAGGCGGUCUCGGAGCUGCAGCCGACGGCGACCUCCGGCUUCGGCGCCCACCUCCUCCUCUCGGACUUCGACGAGAGCUUCCUGGCCGACCGCGCCCUCGACCUCAAGUCCGACUCCAUGGAGGGCUUCCGCCACAGCUCCAACUACCUCAAGACCCUCCUCGAGUCCUGCGUCGGCGGCCGCGCUCUCCUCACCUAUUAUCAGAGAUGCAAACAGAUAUUCGACAACAAGUACCGCUCAAAGCUGACGAACCUGAUAAUUACGGCGGAGCUGCAGAACCCGGAGCGGCGGCUGGACAAGCGGCGGUUCCAGUUCCUGGCCAACCAGAUCACCAAAGUGUUCCCGACGGAGACGGCCGACGUCUACUACCACACGGCCCUCUCCCUGGGGACCGGGAAGUACCACCCGGCCGGCGGACGCCUCUUCCACGCCUACCACAACCGGCUCAAGGACCUCAAGAAGUGCGGUCUCCUCAGGAACAACGUCCAGCGCUCUCGCGGCUCCUGAAGAACGGCCCCCGGCCCCGGACAGAGGGCCCACACUUCCGCCAUCGCCACCCUCCAGUUCAACCAGUUCUUCGAGUUCAGCCAAUAGUCACCUGCAGCGCGGCUGUAUAUUUCCGCUGGAAACCCUGGAAACCGAGCCAAGGAGAGACCCCUUACUAACCUUCUUCUGCCGUGCUAAGGAAAAACGCCGUAUGAGUCCUCAGGCGUUGCCAAAUUUUCGUUGAUAAAUCAAGAAUUUUCGGGAAAAUUUGUAAAUAUUUUUCUUCAAAUUUUUCAGGUAAUUUUGUUAGCAAUUUUACCUAAAGUUCUUGGAAAAUUUUUUGGAAAAUAUUCAUAACUUUCCUCAAAAAUAAAAAUUUUAUCGAAGGAAAUUUGGCAACUCUCGGAUGUUCAUACAGCGUUCUUCAUUAGCACGGCAGUCUUGGAGGUAUUUUAUAGGUGGAAACUUCCACUUUCGUGGAUUCCACAUUUCCAAGGGACAAAUUAAGGUAGCAACCAUCAUAAAUUUUGUGGCGGCUGUUGACCUAGCCGAGAUAGAGUACUUUUAUAGAGAGUCUCGACGUUGGUUUCCAUGGAACUCUUAGAAUCCAAAAAAAUGGGAAAUAAUCACUGAGAAAGAAAAAAAAAAAACAUCCAUGAGUCGUGGUGUAAUAUUCCAUAUUGACCGCGCUAUUCGGUUCAUGUAGUCGUGAUUUCCGGUCAAGGCAACCAAAUCUUUUCCGUGUCAUUUUAAAACUCGUAUUUUUUCACCGAAGACGUUCAUUAUCCGAGGUCGGAGUUCGGUACCUGAGCUGGAAACUUCGAUGUGCAAUUAUGAAUCAAAGUUCAGUCCUCUUAAUGAAUAUUUUUUUGUUUUGUUUUUGUGUCGGCCAGUUUUUGUUUAAUGGUUUGCAAAAAAAUACGAUGGAGUCAAAGAAAACUGAAUUGAAAGUGAAAAUUUCAAGAGCUCCUCUAGAGGGGCUUUCCUUUCCGUCUCGACUCUUGGAUCCCGUCAGCAUAUAGCUAACUGUAUUUUUGAACUUUUCUACUGUCGAACAAACAAAUAAUGCUGCAUGAGCCCUAUUCAGAGUUACAUGUGAACUGAAGAAAAUAUUUGAGUAACUUAUAUACUUUCUCACUUUCUCCACGACUUAACCUGUUACUUGUUUGUCCUACCGUAGCUUUUUACCAGGAAACCAGUUUUUAUACUUAUCAUCUGAGUCCGAUAUCCUACUCAAAGCUGUCUAUGCACACGAACCCCAAAAAGCCUCGAAUGGUGCUGAUUAUAAGACACCAUAGAACGUUUAACGUUUAGGCUUUUUUUUUUAUCUGUGAAUCAGUAUUUUCUUACUAUCUCUCCCCCCGUAACAUUUAUCACGUAUAGGAAUUAGAACAGUCAUUCGAACGUCUUGCUAACUCCAUUAGGUGAAGGAAAAAUCCAUUUUUCUAACGAAAAGAGUCAAAUAUUUAAUUUUCAAUUUUUAUUUAUUCAAUUUUUCAUUGUACAAAAUUUAAAUUUUUUUAAUGAUUUUCUUUCAAAUUCAUCGCUUAAGACAGGCCUCACUCCAGAGGCAAACCGAUGCGAAGGUGACGCAUUGAAUUAUCCAUGACGUUAAUAAUUUUAGUUUUGUUUAUAUUGAAAUGGUUAAAAGGACUUUAAAAGAACUUUUAGGUGUUGUUUUCGUCCAUUGUUUUCACUUAAGAUUACUCCUUUGAAUUUCUUUGUUUUGUGUACUUUAAGUAUGGAUUAUUCAUGAUCAUGAUUACUACCUCAGCGAUGGAGAAGUCUAGUAUUAUCACUUUAAAUGUUUUUAGAAGGUCAAGGAAUUUGAUUCAGUUAAGACGCAACUUUCUCUUAUACUCAUUGGCGACUUUCAAUUAAAAAUAAGUUUAUAUUUUAUUGAGUAUCGUACACAGUUCCUGCUAUUAGUCUAGUUGUAUUAAACGCAUUGAUACUUAUUAUUUUAUUUUCGUGUCUCGUGAAGUGUAAAAUUAUUGUACUUUAUUUAAAAAAAAAUACCCUUCUACUUAUUUAUUGUAUUGUAUUGUAUUAUUGUUUUGAUGUUAUUUUUGGUCGGAUUGUGUAACUUCUGUAGAAAACUUGGAAUUUUAUUUAUUUGUUUAUAGGCGAAAAAUGUGGAACGAUUGGUCAGUCUGAUUUAGUUGAUUUAGUUUUUCAUUUUAUCGCUGUUUAAUUUCUGUUUUAUUUAGUCUGUUGAUGCUAAUAAUCAUAACUUAAAAUACAUUUCUUCCUUAUUUAAUCCAUUAGUUUCAUUAUCCGUACUCUUAUAGGGGAGUAAUUUUCUUUUUGUGAGUACAUAUGCUUUCAUCCUCUGAUUUCCUGCUGAAACCACGUGACUCUCUUUAUGUCCAAUGCAAAAAAUCAAAGCAUCUCUGAAGAAUCAAAACAUAUUUUCAGAGUAUUAUUUAUUAAUUUUCUUUUAUUUAUUUUAAUCAUAGGCGGAUCAGGGGGGCCUAGAGGGCACAUGCCCCCUUCCCGUUCGAGCACCGAAAAAAAGAAAGAAAAGGGGGAGAAAGAAAGAAGGAAUGAAUGGGGGAAAGAAUAAGAAAGGACGCUUAUAUUUGCUAAUAGACCAUUAGACAAGAUACGAAUUUAAGCAUUCUGACACAUGGCGUUGGCUUUCCUAACGCCCUAUGCUUCCUUAUUUAAAUCCCAGUGUAAAUCAACAAAAGAAAUCGGAAUAAGAAUGACAAGAGUUACUAAUGAAUUUGACAUCGUAAAGUUGUUGUAACAGUUUGCUCAACAGUGAAGUGCCAGCGAGGUAUAGUUCUUUCAGUUUGUCAUUUAUUUUUUAUUGUAUUUUCGCUGAACAUCUUGUGUAUGUGCUGCAAUGAUUACUGAAAAAAUUCAUCUCACUCUGAUAAAUGAUCGACAAUGAGUUAGAAGUCUCUGAAUAGAAGUUUGCAUAUUUUGAAAUUCGCCGGUUUAAUGCGUUAGAAUCGUCCCAAAAGUCGGAUUGAGCCAAAUCUCUCGCCAUUGUGAAUUGUGAUUUUUUCUCGAGCCUUAAGGUUGAACCCUACAGGACUUUCAAGGACCGGAACGUAAGUAAUAAGUCGUAAUCUUUCGUAAUCGUAAUCGUGAUGUACUUUGCGAGUAUUUUGUCAGUAUUUUUCGUACUUCUUUCCGAUUUCAGAAAGUUUAGAAAAAUAGAUUCUUAAGUGAGAGAAUCUACCGCCUUGUGACGUCAUAAGACUACAUUUCCGAUUCCAACACAUGUAUUUUCGCAGAUUAGGCCAUUUUGUCGUAUCUCCUCCAAGAUUAGUUCAAUUUAGAAACCAAAUAAUGUCCUCUUGCUGAAUUCUUUUGGCCGUUUCGACUUAAGAAUGAAAUUAAUCCGAUUUCAGGCUCCUGCUAAUUCUCCAUCAUCGGAUUAUCAUUUUCGCACACUUACUUUUCAACGCACUCCAAUGAUGAAUGGCAAAUGAUUGACUCACCUCCUUGAAACGAAUUUGGAUCAUUAUCGUAUUUAUUGUUAGUAUUUUGGAGGCCAAUAUCGUUUCUUGGUAGUUGAGUUGUUUCCUUCAUCUCCUUCUCUCGUAAAAAUAGUGAGCCCUUGUGAAUUUUGAUCCUUUUCGACCCAAGAAAAUCAACGUCUCGUCCCUGCAAUUGGACGUAUUUCUGCCAAACGGAACUAUGUGCAUUAGGACAUGAGCCUUGAGACCCAUAAGAACAAUGUAUGCACAAAAGGGCCCAUGUAAUAAUGCAUAUAGUCCCGUUUGGCAAAAAUACGUCCAAUUGUAAUAAACUAUCUGAAAAAUGCUUCUUGAUUUUGUCUAAGAUAACACUCAUCGUUUGUUACUAUUGUUUCAGCCUCGGGUCGACAUGUUUGCGACUUGUGCGGCCGAUCGUACAAACAAAGAACGCAUCUGUCGAGGCACUUAAAGUACGAGUGCAACAAUGUCAUCGAAAAACCCCAGUUCCAUUGUUUUUUGUGCCCCUACACGUCUAAGCAAAAUUCGAAUGUCACAAGACAUGUAAUAAUUAAACACGGUGUUCUCCCGCAAUAAAACUCAACCUAAGUACAAUUUCUGUUCAUCAAUGGUGGAAGUUUCAAAACACGUAUCUCAACAUCAAAUCGCCGCUGUCAUUUUCAUUUAAUAAUUUGGACAAGUAAAAAUUUAUAUUCGAUGAAAUCGAUUUUGCUUGAAAUGCCCAAAGAAUAUUCUUUAGAGGAUGAGAGAAUUCAGCAAAAAUUCGAGGAGAUAAUGUUUGUUAGGUUUUUUUGUGGAAAUAUGUAAUGUGACAAAAAAACUGCAACGUCGGAAAUUGAGAUACGUAUUUUGUGACUUUCCAGAUCAAUUUCUGACUAUACAUCCGAACUUUUCGACCGCUGUCCUACCGAUUUACCGACGGCAUUGCAUUAUUUUUAGCACGAAAAGAAUAAUAUAAGAAUGAUAGAAAAAAACUUACAGGGAUCUGAGUCCAAUUUUCAAGUCUUAAAGCAUUUGCCAUGAGUAUGCAUGAGUGCCGGAAAAACUGUCACCAAUAUUAAAAAACCAAAAAUAUAAAUGAAACAUUGUUCAGCUUCCUAUAAAUCUUUGAAAUUUACUUUUUCUCUUUUUUAUCACAAUAAAGUAUUUUGGUCACAGAAAAUGAAAUUUAUUUUUUCUUUUUGUUUAGGAGGAUCCCAUUUUAAAAACACCAGUCUCUGUUUGGUCGUCGUGAAUGUCGUAAUUCAUACAUUAGUGUAACUGCAGUAGUCCAUCUCUAGCCUUCCUUUAAUCCUCAAGUAAAUGCUUGAUUUAUUUAUUCGAGAGGUACAUGCUGCUAGGGGUCCGCGCUCCCAAAAUUAAAUACAUUUCAAGUAUAAAUUUUCAAUCUCCAACACGGAGCAUUGACCAAUUUUCGUCCCCUUACCGGGGGCUUCACGGGAUUACAUUCAGUGUAGUCCAGUAAACGAAGGCGUAUAGGGGCCGUUUCCGGCCAAAAAUUAAAAUACGGCUGGACUUAGGCCCAAUCGAUUCUUCAUAUGAAAAGGUGUUUUUAGCCAAAAGUCCCCAUAAAUCCCCUUGGGGGAUUCCGCACAGUGGUCCGAUGAAGUUGAAAAUUGGACAUAUUUUCAAAAAUUCAUUGCGGAGCGAGA